Mauremys reevesii (Reeves's turtle) is the source of this 1145-nucleotide long non-coding RNA. RefSeq lists it as uncharacterized. Lineage: Eukaryota; Metazoa; Chordata; Testudines; Geoemydidae. The transcript has 3 exons. The record is from RefSeq and is a predicted model, not a curated record.
CCCCGGUGCGGCCGCGCUGCUGCACGGCGAUUUCCUUGGGGCGCCGCAAACAAAGCUGAAACCCCGUAGGGCGUUUGGCCUGAGGGGGAGAAUGGAGAAGCAGCUUCCAGCGACUGGGAGGCUACGAGCCCUAGCGCCGGCCCCAGGCUCAAAGCCCCAAGUCAGUAGGGCCGCUAAUGUACGUCAAUGCUUCGCCCAUCGGGGCUUUUACAGACAAAAUGGCUGGGGCUGAAGACACCGCUUCAGUUCCAAGGAGUUGUUUUUGGCUUUGCUUGAUUUAAUAACAUGUUCUGUUUCUACUGUAAUGGGAGCUGCUGAGUACAAAGAUAACAAGUGCAACCAAUAAGGAGAUCAGCUUCUGAUGUCUGAGAUCACCAUGAAUUCCAAAUUGCACCAUUGCCACUUUCUCAGGAGGGAUGAGUCCAACCUGUGGACUCAAGUGAGCACUUUACCGUACCAUUACAUUUCCUCUGACGUCCAAUGGGCUGGAAAUUCCCCAAGGAGUUUGAGAUAAGUGCCCACGCUGCACUCCCUAGGUUUGCAGAUUUGCCAUCCACUCAGUAACAAGGGACAGGCUGUGCUGAGCUGAAGGGAUAAGGAAGAGAGAACUGCGUGAUAAAUAACUAAGGAGCUGCAUCACUGCAGGAAGAACACGCUAAAGUACACAUGAAAAAACAAACACACACAAACACACCAGGAGUGCAGAAAGAAACCAGCUGAAGGGGCAGCCCCUAGAAAUCUGCUCCAGCUCUGGGGCAGCUCUGACCCCAGCCCUGAAGAGACACAGUGAGACAGCCCCAUGUGGGCCCUGCAGAGAACUCAGCUCUGCGUGACUGGGGAUAUCACCUGUUUAGCUCUGGCCAGCUCUUGCAGUAACUGUUACAAAUUAAACUUUGUUCUUGUUUUAUCGUCAAAUCCCAGAAACAAGUCAGAACAAGUCUGUUUGGUAAGAAACUAUUCACUGACACAGUGUUCUGUAGACAGAAAAGAUUAAAUGCUCAACUUAGCUGGAGGGAACUAACUGCUCUAUGAGAUCUGGAGGCAGAAAAACGAGACCAGUAGCAGGAGGAGCUGCCAAUCAUAGAAUAUCAGGGUUGGAAGGGACCUCAGGAGGUCAUCUAGUCCAACCCCCUGUUCAAAGCAGG